GGAGCGUGUGAGGAAGCCGUUGGGGGAGGACCUCGAGGCGGCCUCUGGGAGCCGACAGGAACACGUGGUCGACCAGAGAGAGACUCCCAUGUGCACGGAGCAGAUGAGAGUCUCGCUCUCUUGCCCAGGCUGGGGUGCAGUGGCAUGAUCUCAGCUCACUGCAAGGUCUGCCUCCCAGUUUCACACCAUUCUUCUGCCUCAGCCUCCUGAGUAGAUGGGAGUACAGGUGCCUGCCACCACACCCAGCUAAUUUUUUGUAAUUUUAGUAGAGACGGGAUUUCACCGUGUUAGCCAGGAUGGUCUUCAUCUCCCGACCUCGUGAUCCACCCGCCUCGGCCUCCGAAAGUGCUGGGAUUACAGGCCUGAGCCACCGUGCUCAGCAUAAAGAGCUUUUUAUGGUUCACUGAGGACAAUCAACCCCUUUACAGUCUAGAACCCAAAGAUGGGAUCUUCUGAGAACAUCAGAAAAACUGCCCUUGGCAUCCACACUGCAACAAAACCUCAGGAUCUUGAAACUUGGGGUCAUAAUCUCACAACUGAGCAGGGUCGCUCCACACUCUUGGAACUGUACAUCCAUUGAAACCAUUAAGGUAGAGUUAACCAGGGAAGUUUCUCCCAGAAGAAGAUGGCAUCCUCGAUGUGAGCAGCUCUUUCCGAAGGUCAUGGAUCAAGACUUCUUACUGUCAUGAGAACAAUAGAAGUGAGAAGGGUGUCUGUUGUGUGCACCUAUGGGUUAUGCUUUUAUUUGUGAAGGAUUUUGCAGCCAGCUUUAUACAUGGAUAAUCUUAUAACUUGAUAGAUAAAAGAUGAAGGCCCAAUGUGUCAUAGGUGAGAAACUUAAAUGGUACAUACAGUGCCUCAUAAUCAUUCAGAAACAGAACAUUGGUCCGCUCCUCUUAACCCACGCCAUGGGUUACAGAGAACAUUGAAUCAUUCAGAAACAGAACAUUGGUCCGCUCCUCUUAACCCACGCCAUGGGUUAAAGAGAACAUUGCCGGGAGGCCUUCCCUCUUCUAGAAGGGCAUCAUUUGUUAGGUCCUUUUUCCAUGGUUUGGAACACAAAAGGCAAUGACUAGAAACGUGUCCCUCAAGAUAGACUCUGUAGCAGAUUCUACUGCAGCGGCUACACAACAGAUGUUAAAUUCUCUUGUGAAAGUUACGCUAAAUAAUAGAAUUGGCGAAACAGGAAAGUAUCUGUGCAGCUGCUGGCACUUAGGACCUAUGGAGAAAACAUCAGGUAUUACAGAGAUUCUGUUGUAGGGAAUUAACGAAAAGAUCACUGAGUUAAGUCAAAGAAUGAGCUUUAUCUAGCUCAUUCAUUGGUCUAUUUGAGUUGAGGUGGUUUGGUUUACGGGGACCCUGGGUAAGGAGCAUCCUCCAAAUCCUUGGUGUUGCCCUCUCAGUAGUCAUAAUAAUGGUCUCCCUGGUGCACUGGAUUCUCUCAAAGGUUUUAAAUGUUAGUGUGAAGCCAUCUUUAGAAUGUCAAAUGGUGUCUCUUCCACUGGAAUGACAAGAGCUGAAAGAAAUGUGUGACCACGAGGACACCAUAACCCGUGAGUGACAUGCUGAGACCGGAAACCCAAAAUGAUAGUAACGGAGAGUGGCGCUGAUGACCUAAGUUUUGGUCACUCUCUUGCCUAAGUGAGAACCUGACCAAAAGGGGGGAAUUUUUAAAACAAAAUGGUGGGAGGCCAUUGUUUCGGACUGAGCACUAGGUCCCAGCAAACCAAACCAAAAUGGCGUCAUUCGUGCUAAAUGUGACAUAAUUUAAUUAAGACUUUAAGGAAACACGUGGGUCCUAGAACAGACCAGGUUUUGUUUUUCUGUUGCAAACAGGACUUUCCAGCAUAAGGUGGUAUCCUCCACUCAGUCCUUGUUCCUACCUUUGCAAAACUCACUGUUCUGCUGCUUCCUAGUGAGUUUCAAGACCAAUGGUGAUAGUGACAUCAAUAACUCACGUUAUGGUCGAUCUCUCAAAACUGAGAAAAUGACCAAAAAGGGGGAAUUGUUAAAGCGAACUAAAUAUGGCCCGAGAAGGACUCCGUACUUCUGUAUUGGAGUCCUUGUGGACAAACUGAGGCUAACUUAAAAGGCAGACAAGAUUGAAAACCUAAAUUAGGAAUACGCACCUGUCACAAUCGCUGAGUCUUGGCCAGUCCCAGCAGCCAUACUUCAGUCACUCACACACUGCUCAAUGUUCAAACUGUGUUUAAAUGAGGCACAUGCCAACCUGUAUCCGAUCCAGGUGCUUCUGUACCUCCCUUCCCUUUCUUUGUCUAUAAAUCUUCCACCACGUGGCUGCACUGGAGUCUCGCUGAAUCUGCUGUAAUUCUGGGGGCUGCCCGAUUUACAAAUCAUUCAUUGCUCAAUUAAACGCCUUUACAUUUAA
This 2389-nucleotide long non-coding RNA is filed under the name Macaca mulatta (Rhesus monkey). RNAcentral describes it as "lncRNA (ENSMMUG00000052538.1)". The record is from RNAcentral. Lineage: Eukaryota; Metazoa; Chordata; Mammalia; Primates; Cercopithecidae.